AGUACGUGAAACUGCUUAGAGGUUAAGCCCGAUGAACCUGAAUAUCCAUUAUGGAAAAUUCAACAUUAAUAUUAUAAUAUUUAUUUAUAAAUAUUAUAAAAAUAGUGUGCAAUUUUUCCAUAUAAGGACAUUGUAAUCUGUUAAUGUAAUAAAUAUUUAUCAUAAGAUUCAAUAAAUAAAAGUUUAUUCAAAUUAGUUAUUUUCCGAUUUCUAACAUAGAAUAAAUUUAAUUGAAUUUGAUAAAUCAUUGACAGAUUUAUUUAUAUAUAGUGCUUAAAUUCUUAAUUGAAUUUUACAAUAAUUUAUAAAUGUAUUUUCAUUUAUUUAUUUAUUGUAUGCACUUAUAUGAUUAACAAUGCUAUAGAUUCAGGAUACCUUCGGGACCCGUCUUGAAACACGGACCAAGGAGUCUAACAUAUGUGCAAGUCAUUGGGUAUUUUUAAUAAAACCCAAAGGCAUAAUUAACUUAACUGUUUUUAAUAUGGGAUUAAUUUAUAUUUUAUUAUGAAAUAUUAAUUCAAUCCCGGGGCGUUCUAUAUAGUUAUGUAUAAUAAUAUUUAUAUUAUUUAUGCCUCUAACUAGAGCGUACCUUGAGCAUAUAUGCUGUGACCC
RNAcentral lists this ribosomal RNA (612 nucleotides) under Merodon sp. 1 SV-2019. RNAcentral describes it as "partial large subunit ribosomal RNA". Lineage: Eukaryota; Metazoa; Arthropoda; Insecta; Diptera; Syrphidae. The record is from RNAcentral.